GAAAUGUUGUUGCCUAAUUAAAUGAUACACAUUUUGUGUUUUGGUAUCAUUUGUGUCUGUAUCAAUUCAACUCAAGUGAGAAAUCCAAAUAAAAAAAGUUAAAAUAGGAGUAGCCAAGCUACAAUAUUUUUUUUCUUUUGCAAGUGCCUCUUAUUUUUAUUUUGAUGUUACCUGGUCAAAUACAAGCUGCACAGUCAUUGAUGGUUACUUAUUUGCAAUGAAUUUAAAAGAGCUCUACAGCGUCAUCUGUUGGAUUCAAACUACACUUGACCAACGCCUCUCUUUGUAUUAAUUUAUUUUCAGAGCCGAUUAUAUUGGCUGUAUGUGCAUACUAUUGUCCACUAUUUGGGAAGGAAAACGAAUGGUGACGUUUUUAGAUCCAUAGAUCUGUGUUAAAAAUAGAUAAGUGAUAUGGGGAGAAAAAUUGUUACUUCCUGUGCCGUUGGGUUUAAGGGUCACACACACGGUUCUUUCACUGCUGCAUAAAAGAGCACGCACUGCAAUAAUGACUUUAAAAGCAGUUCACGCGACGGGAAACCUCUCGGAUGAAUGAAUGACUUGCUGUUCUCCUUCACGCGGUCACAGCAGGGUUCCGACGAGCCGCACUGAUGUGAACAAUAUGAUGGACUCUAAGCUCGUCACUGCCCAAGGUGGAGAUGUCUGCAGGCCCAGCAGGGGUGAGAUAAGGUUAUCCUUCAGGAAUGCAGAGCUGCUCGUAUGGAAGCUCAUUUAAGAACAGAGGACUGGAUGACUGAGUUCCUCUCUCACUCCGUCAGUGCAGGGCGUCGCAGAUUCUCGAUCCAAAGGGGAUCGCAGGACCACGCACAUGCAGCAGCCAUGUGUCUCUGGUGCCAGAGCCAUAGGAGGCACCUCACCGCCGUUCAGGCAAGUGUCCUCCACCCACCCGAUCGCAGCUCUGAACCUGGGAACACCGGAGAGAAGAAAGGCCGGCCUCUGCAGGCAGAUGGCGCUGUUGCUCCAGAGCGUCUCUGCUUCAGAGUCUUCUGACCGCGCUGUAAUGCAGGGGAAGCUUGUGUUCCACCACAGUGAGGUAUUGCUUCCAGGUCGAUCGCGCACAGCUCCACGUCACUCCGAUGAUAUUGAUCCACGGUAAAAGGACAUAAGACGGGAACGCUUUCUCUCUGUGUGUGUGUGUGUGUGUGUGUGUGUGUGUGUGUGUGUGUGUGUGUGUGUGUGUGUGUGUGUGUGUGUGUGUGUGUGUGUGUGUGUGUGUGUGUGUGUGUGCGAGUGAUGUGUGUGUGCGAGUGAUGUGUGUGUCUGAGAUACAUUGAUGUGUUUUUCAUUUCUGAAUUAUAUUAUCUGGAUACAUUUUGGCUAAAUAUAACAGAAAAAAGACAGCAAACCACAACAGAUUUUUCUGGACCAGAUAUCACCAGUGAUGAGGUUUCCCUCCACACACCAAUGGAGUACUUCUAUAAGUUUGUGUCAGAAGACAUGAUUCAGGAACUGAUGAAAUCCACAAAUGAGUACAACUCUCAGAAGAAUUGCACAUCUGUAAAUACUGAUACAAGUGAUAUUCAGAAAGUGAUUGGCAGGUGUCUGAAGAUGGGCCUAGUGCAGAUGGCUGGAGUCCGUAUGUAUUAGGAGACAGUCACACAGUACCCCCAUGUUUCUGAUCUGAUGUCACGCAACAGAUUCCAAUCUCUGUUGACAUCAUUACAUGUUGUAAACAACUUGAAAGUGUCGGGGACGGAAAAGAAAGACAAACUCCUGGAAACUCAGACCAUGGCUUGAUUCAUUCAGAGAGUAAUGCCUGCAGGUGGUACCGGAAGAGUGCAACUCUGAGGAUAAGAUGGUUCAUUUCAAAGAGAAAUCCAUUCGCUUACAACAUAUACAUGGGAAGUGUGGAUUUGUUGGACUCAUUUGCACCGCUGGGACGUCUACAUCUUCUGGCACGCGAUUAUCCUCGCUGUGACCAAAGCCUGGCUCCUCUACAAGCGGGACUGCAAUGCUCACAAGUUGCCUGUGAAAGACAUAAUGAAGAAGAGACUGUAUCAGGCCCUACUAGCAUCCUCUCUCAUCCUGGUGAACACAACUCUCAGCACACCAAAGACGGGGCAACCAUCUUCAGGCAAUUGGAGCCCAGCAAUACAGAAUGUAACAUCAAGGAGCCCUCUGAAUGCACUGAAGAGACCAUCCCCAGGUGAUGGGGGGUCACUAAACGGGGUCCCAACCAAGAGGCCAUCUGUACAUCCCCCAGCACGCACUGACCUAUUCGCACAUAUGCAAGUGAAAAUCAACAGAGGAUGUGGCAGAUAUUGCACUAAUGGAUUCAAAACCACCAUAUGUAGCAAGUGUCAUGUCCGUCUUUGCUUUUCAGAGGAAAAAACUGUUUCUGGGACUACCAUAGCAAAUAAACAUGGCUGAACUCUGGGAAUGAGACGAUAUUCAGUUUUGUAUUUUUAUUUCAUAUAUUAUUUUUUUAUUCAAAUAUGACUGUUGUGUGAUUUUUAUUCUUGUUGUAUCCUGCUAUGAGUCUAAAUAAGCAGUCAACCCCGCAACUGAUCCACUAGUUGUUCUGUAUAUUUGUAUAGUAGUACAAAUACAGAAAUUCUGCUCCCAGCUAGGGCCAACGUUGCAAAAUUAAUAACAUUUCCUAAAAACGUACUUAUAGCGUAAAUAUAAGAUGAUUUCUUCAUCAGAGGCCUCAUACAACAACAUUUGAAAGGUAAAAAAAAUAUGUGAGCCAAAUGGUUUGGAAAUCUGGACUAUUUCUGUGAUGAACCACCAGGGGGCAACCUAAUACCACAAUGAGUGGGAUCAGCUGAAGACUGACUUUAUGUUCUUACACCGUUGUACUGUAGACCACUUAUAAAAUACAUUCUAUCCAGACAUGAAAUUCCAAUUUUGCCACUUCAGGCAAUUACCACAUUAUAUAACGGCCAAUUGUUGCAUUCAUAAUGAUUUUUCUUCAAAUGUUGUUUGAGACUAAAGGCCUAAAAUAUAGUCAUAACAUUUCCUUAAACUUUGGACCAUGUGUCCGUACCCCUUUUUUAAAAAAAAUGGAUCU
This is a long non-coding RNA of Gadus macrocephalus (Pacific cod), 3031 nucleotides long. RefSeq lists it as uncharacterized. NCBI's taxonomy places the organism in Eukaryota, Metazoa, Chordata, Actinopteri, Gadiformes, Gadidae. The record is from RefSeq and is a predicted model, not a curated record. The transcript has 5 exons.